GACGAACGCUGGCGGCGUGCUUAACACAUGCAAGUCGAACGGAAAGGCCCUGCUUUUGUGGGGUGCUCGAGUGGCGAACGGGUGAGUAACACGUGAGUAGCCUGCCCUUGACUUUGGGAUAACUUCAGGAAACUGGGGCUAAUACCGGAUAGGAGCUCCUGCUGCAUGGUGGGGGUUGGAAAGUUUCGGCGGUUGGGGAUGGACUCGCGGCUUAUCAGCUUGUUGGUGGGGUAGUGGCUUACCAAGGCUUUGACGGGUAGCCGGCCUGAGAGGGUGACCGGCCACAUUGGGACUGGGAUACGGCCCAGACUCCUACGGGAGGCAGCAGUGGGGAAUAUUGCACAAUGGGCGGAAGCCUGAUGCAGCAACGCCGCGUGCGGGAUGACGGCCUUCGGGUUGUAAACCGCUUUCGCCUGUGACGAAGCGUGAGUGACGGUAAUGGGUAAAGAAGCACCGGCUAACUACGUG
RNAcentral lists this ribosomal RNA (468 nucleotides) under uncultured bacterium. RNAcentral describes it as "partial 16S ribosomal RNA". It matches the Rfam family "Bacterial small subunit ribosomal RNA", at positions 28 to 507 of the family's 1533-position model. The record is from RNAcentral.